RNAcentral lists this long non-coding RNA (3452 nucleotides) under Carica papaya (papaya). RNAcentral describes it as "long non-coding RNA (CPAP_LNC012432)". The record is from RNAcentral. Lineage: Eukaryota; Viridiplantae; Streptophyta; Magnoliopsida; Brassicales; Caricaceae.
UUUGAGAUAGGAAGACCGUAAGGAGUGUGAGGAGUGAGAGUAAGAGAGGUGGAGCUUGACAUGUCUGGUUGGGAUAGGUAUAGAGAGAUAUGGAGCUUUUGAGGUGGUGGUGAACAUGGAGGGAAAAGAGAGCAGGUAUGAUGAGUCUGUCAUUGCUAAGGGCUUGAAGAUAGAUGUUGCUGUAGAAGAAGACAUUUUGAGAGGGAGGGGGAAAGGAGGAGAGGGUUUUAGGGAAGAGCAGGGAGAGGAUAAGGAGCAGAGCGGAGAAAGAGAAGUUUAAAGCAAGAAGGAAGGGUUGUACAUACAUUCACUUCUAUGCUAUGCGAGGUCCAAAAUCUCUUAUCUGCCAUGGGCUCCAUAGGCCUCUUCACGAUUUCUUUUUUCUGUUUUUAUUUUUUCCAUUGGGCUGUUAAAAUUUUAUUAUGUUUUAUUUUUAAAGUGAAUUUAAGAGUUACUAGUUAUAAAUUAAAAGUGACUUAGUUUUUUCAAUUAUAAAUUAGUGGUGACUUAAGUUUAGCAGUUAUAGUUUAGUGGUGACUUAAUUUCAAUAAUUAGUGGGGUAGUGUUUAUUUAUUUAAUUUUUAUUUAAAUUAAUUAAUUUUAUAAAUAAAAUUUAUUUGAGUUGAGUUUAGUUCAGUUUUUUUAUAUAUACAGUUUCCAUUAUUUUAUUUUUACACGGGCUUGAUUCAUAUUCAAAUUCGAUAAAAUUAAAAUGAUAAUAUAAUAUAAUAUAAAUUUCAUACAAAUUUGAGUAAAAAAAGUAUUUAAUUAUCGAAGUUAAUUUCUUGCCCGAUUCAUUUCAAAUGUUCUUUGUAAUUUCUUUUGUCACAUGUUUGACUGAGAAAUUAAAGACGAAGGAAGUACAUCAAAUAUGUACGCAAAAAUUAAUUUUUAUAUAUUAAAUAAUUAAAAUAUAGUAAUGAAGUAAAAAUAAAUUGAAUAAUUGUUUGAUAAAUUGUAUUUAAAUAUUGAGUCUUCUAAAAUUUAAACUAGGAAGUAGAAGAUAAUUUCUCAAUUUUGUACUUGUAUUUUUUUAUUGAUGAUAAUAAAUGUUUUGUAUUUGUAUUUAUGUUAUUAAACUUUGAGGGCAAAAUAUUAGAAUAUUUUUUCUUAAUUUGCCUUAUUUAUUUUUUCGCUACAACAAAUUUUUGUUAAUUCUAUUCUUUCAUUCAUCCUUGUGUGAAUAUUUACUUUAUUUUAAAAUUUGAACUGUAUUAUAAAUAUUUAAUUUAUUCUUUAAUAAAUUAACGUUGGAAUUAAAUUCGAUAAAAAAUUAGAGUGGACGAAAUAAAUAUUUUUUGUUUAAUGUAAAAAAAUUUUUCUAACAAAUAUAAACAUAAAAAUAUAUUUAUGUACAACUAAUUAAUAUAUAAACUGUACAUAUCUAAAAAUUCCCACUAAUAAAUUGUGAUAUAAAGUUUACAAAAUACAUGAACAUGUAAAUACAUAUAUUUCCAUUUACAUAUAUACAUACACAUAUAAAGAGUAGGUGAAGUAAACAAAGAGAAACAUGACUAGUCUUAUUGAAUAAUGCUUCCAAUGACAAAAAGAGAAGAGAGGUUAAUAGAAAAAUUCAAUAUCCCUUAAUUUGGUUUGAAGAUGAAGUUUGAAUGUAAGUGUGAGUACUCCAUCAUCAUCCUCGUAUGCAAAAUCCACUUUUUCCAGGUCCACUUCACAAGCCCUUGGUCUAAUGUUGGAGGAGGCUCCAAAUCUCCGACACCCACAUACUCUUAUCUUGAUUCUACUGCAUCCUGAAAAACUCAUACUCUCCAUUGUUCCUUCUGAAUUAUACAUAUGGAUCAAUCCUAUCGGAGCAAAAAGAAUAUCUCCACCAAAAGCCUGUAAUUAUUUACAUUGGCACAUACACUAGAGAAGUAUUUUUGUUUUAAAAGAAAAUUCCAAUUUACUGACUCAAAUUAUUGGUGAUAUGGUGUAUAUUUCAAAUUCCGGAGUUUUCAAUGAUAUACUUAAAGAUUUCCUUUCUUUGGCAAUUUGAAAAAGGAUCCUGCAAUGUAAACCAAUUUGCAUACAGGUCAAUGCAAGACCUGACAAUUAUCGGUUAAUGAGGAGAAGGCAGGGAGUUUGGCAACUAACCAGAAUUGAACGCAUAUAUUGCACAAUCUCUGUUCCAAUUUCCGCCGGCAACAUCUGCUAGGAAUUCAACAUCCAUAGGACUCACAUGGCUAGAUAGGGAGACAGUAGAUGCUGCUACUUUUUCUUUUACUUGCUUCAGUGGCCAAGGCCAACCACCUUCUCCUUGACAAUUAAAAACACCCACCACUCCACCUAACUUGUUCAUAUUCCAAAUCUUGAGUAUGCUGUGAAUUCAUAAUUGAGCAUAGAAAGAUUUGAAUAAAGGAAAACGUCAAAGGAGUGUUCAAAAAUAUACCUUUUUCCAUCUAUAACAGGAUCUACAAAGAGACAAUCUCGAGUAGGAUGGCCAGCUUGUCUGCCCCUAAGGAUGGAUCUAUCCGGCAACACCAGCUUCCUGAGGAUAUUGAAGUCAUGAAUGUCUAGCUUGUCGCUGUUGUUAAAUGAUUAAGAAGAUAAACUUAGUGUACCAAGCAGAAACAAGAACAAGUAUUAAAGACAGGAGAGGAUGAUUGUAAAGUUAACCUGGCUCACCUUACAUAUACUCCACAACCACCUAUAGCCCUUGCAGCCCUAUUGAAGUCUACUGAAUUAUGUUUGCUCUAAAAGGAAAACAAGAAACUUGGGUUUAGAUUCUACCAUAGCCAAACUUGGGUUUAGAUUCUGCCAUAGCCAUCACUGUUUCAACAUAGAUUGUCUUGGUUGGUUCAGUUCUAAAUUUCUUUCUAUAUUAAAUUCAUUUACUAAUUAUAGGUUCUCGCUGUCUUAAAUUUUCUAUGUAAUUAUAUAUAAUUUUGUUAUGAUUCAAUGUCAUACCAACUCUUGAAUAAAACAAAAAUUAAACCAUUUAAGGCAACAAAACAUUUGAAUUAGAAUGUAAGUCUUAUAUUUGAAUCUACUUCACUAUUUACAUUGAGUUAAUAUAAGAAAACUAUGCAAAGAAUUCAAGUUAUGGAUGAAAUCAGAUAUGAGAAAUGUAGUUUACCAAAUUAAACAGAUUGCUAAAUGCAAAUUAAAUGAAUUAGCUAACAUCAAUGAAAACCAGAUUUAUACAUGGAAGCUACCGAAGUUACUGCGUUGUUCAAGAAUCUGGAAUCAAAUUAAUUGCAAAUGAAAAGAGAGUUUUUGCUUGUGUAACUGUAACACCGUGCUUACCACCAUGCUAAAAUGUAUUUAGAAAAUCUUAUUUAUUUGGGUUUUAAGGUCACACUGAAUUCAUUUAAUUUUAUUUCACAGUUUUACAUCAUAAUUCAUAAAUUAUGCCAAUUUUAUUAUUUUAUUUAAUUUAACCAAAUUUUGUUAAUUAUUUUUAUUAUUUUUUUAAAUAAAUAAUUUUCAGGAGAAAACAAGAAAAGGGGAAA